This is a non-coding RNA of Cryomorphaceae bacterium, 354 nucleotides long. NCBI's taxonomy places the organism in Bacteria, Pseudomonadati, Bacteroidota, Flavobacteriia, Flavobacteriales, Cryomorphaceae. The record is from Rfam.
CCCCUUGCGUCAUGAUCUCUGUGGGUCUAUGUUGAAUUUGUCGUGGGCAACCUCGACUAUGGCGAUAAACGCACCCGUAAUAAUCGGAUCGGACCCGGGGGCGGUACCCGGCGACUCCACCAACACCCUCCAUUUGGAGGCUAUGGGGUCGAAAUAGGAUCGACGAACGACUAAAGGGGCCAGCUUUUGCUCGGUAGGUACCACCGUUAUCGGACCAUCUGUACAGUUGCAAAUGACAACCGUGCUCCGGCAAUGGCUUUGGCUGCGUAAGCAGUUCGAGUCGCCGAAACUAAGUCCUUGCGCCUAGCCGCGUAAGGCGGGGCCCGCCGGAGCCUGGCAACAGAAUCCGGCACU